CCUACGGGAGGCAGCAGUGGGGAAUAUUGCACAAUGGGGGAAACCCUGAUGCAGCGACGCCGCGUGAGUGAAGAAGUAUUUCGGUACGUAAAGCUCUAUCAGCAGGGGAGAAAAUGACGGUACCUGACUAAGAAGCCCAGGCUAACUACGUGCCAGCAGCCGCGGUACUACGUAGGGGGCAAGCGUGAUCCGGAUUUACUGGGUGUAAAGGUAGCGUAGACGGCAGCGCAAGUCUGAAGGGAAAUCCAAUGGCUUAACCAUGGAACUGCUUUGGAAACUGUGCAGCUGGAGUGCAGGAGAGGUAAGCGGAAGUCCGGGUGUAGCAGUGAAAUGCGUAGAUAUUAGGAGGAACACCAGUGGCGAAGGCGGCUUACUGGACUGUAACUGACGUUGAGGCUCGAAGGCGUGGGGAGCAAACAGGAUUAGAUACCCCGGUAGUC
This 440-nucleotide ribosomal RNA is filed under the name uncultured bacterium. Its description in RNAcentral is "partial 16S ribosomal RNA". It matches the Rfam family "Bacterial small subunit ribosomal RNA", at positions 338 to 795 of the family's 1533-position model. The record is from RNAcentral.